AGGUAGAAGAAUUGAAGGCCCUGGAUGGUCAGGUGAUUGGGGAGAACUUGGUUUGGAGGCUGACCUCUCUUCACCUGAUAGCUCCUGAGCAACAUGGAUGGCAUUUAACUUCUCUUGGAGCUUCCAGACUCUGGAACAUAUUUGGAUCUCCAUUUGAUCCUGGAGGUUUUUCAGGAGGCAUGAGUAACUGAUCUAGACUUGAAUCAUGGAAACCAGAAGCUGAGGUGUCCUCAAGUGGCCAC
Molecule: long non-coding RNA, 242 nt
Filed under: Urocitellus parryii (Arctic ground squirrel)
Lineage: Eukaryota; Metazoa; Chordata; Mammalia; Rodentia; Sciuridae
Description: lncRNA (ENSUPAG00010005506.1)
Source: RNAcentral